UCCCUGAUAGUCCAGUGGUUAGCACUUGGCGUUUUCACUGCUGGGGCCUGGAUUUGAUUCCUGGUCAGGGAA
Molecule: transfer RNA, 72 nt
Filed under: Capra hircus (goat)
Lineage: Eukaryota; Metazoa; Chordata; Mammalia; Artiodactyla; Bovidae
Also listed under: 1 other name
Rfam family: tRNA
About the family: Transfer RNA (tRNA) molecules are approximately 80 nucleotides in length.
Source: Rfam by way of RNAcentral